GGGAAACUGGGGGUAAUUCCAGAUAUGUCAGAACUCCUGGAAUGGGUUCUGGCAGAAAGGCUCCGGCGCCUCAGGAUGGGUCUGCGGCCUAUCAGGGUAGUAGUGGGUGUAACGUACCUACUAGCCUACGACGGGUACGGGUUGUGAGAGCAAGAGCCCGGAGAUGGAUUCUGAGACAUGAAUCCAGGCCCUACGGGGUGCAGCAGGCGCGAAAACUUUACAAUGCGGGCAACCGCGAUAAGGGGACCUCGAGUGCUGGGUUACAAACCUGGCUGUUGGGCUGCCUAAAAAGCAGUCUAUAGCAAGGGCCGGGCAAGACCGGUGCCAGCCGCCGCGGUAACACCGGCGGCUCGAGUGGUAACCGCUAUUAUUGGGUCUAAAGGGUCUGUAGCCGGCCGACUAAGUCUCUUGGGAAAUCUGGCAUCUCAAGUGUCAGGCUGCCAGGGGAUACUGGUCGGCUUGGGACCGGGAGAGGUGAAU
Molecule: ribosomal RNA, 480 nt
Filed under: uncultured Methanosaeta sp.
Lineage: Archaea; Methanobacteriati; Methanobacteriota; Methanomicrobia; Methanotrichales; Methanotrichaceae
Description: bacterial SSU rRNA
Rfam family: Archaeal small subunit ribosomal RNA
Source: RNAcentral